ACCUACUGUUUCUUGUCUCCCUGUUAAUAGCAUGUGUACAAAGUACAUGAUGCCUGUGGACUCACUAGUGUUUUUCUUAUUUGCAGGAAUGACCUGUCAUUGACAGAAGACAGGGCCAGGAACACACACACACACACACACACACCCCAGCUGUUUGUGAAGCCUGACUGAGUAGAUUGUGACAGCUUCUCUCCUAAGUUCUCUUGUCUUUCCAGAGGUGGCCGCCUGACCCUUCGAGCCCGUGUGUCAUGCUCCCUCUUCUGCUUCCCACCUGGCCCAGUGGACUCCCAACCAGCAAUGUCUCCAGGAUUCAAGAUGUGGAAAAACAGAGAAAAUUUCCAAGAAAUGCUGGGGAGGAAUUCCUAAAUGAAAACCACUUGGUCCCCAGCUGUCAAGAGAAAAUGGCGCCACACUGGCCCACAGCUUCUAACACCCAAGUUCCUCAGCUGAUAGUCAAGCAAGUGAUUUGAGCCCUCCUGCUACAUAAAAAGCCACGAAUUUUUAUUUAUUUUUGAGAGGAUGUCUCCAAACAUCUGUUCACUUUUUGACUUGUUUACGUAGCUCAUGGACUGUCUGCUCUGUGUCAGGCACGGCUCGGGAGACCGGAAGAUGAGAACACGUAGUUCCCACCCGGUGCUCAAACCUGAAAUACGGAGGCAGAGACGGGAGCCCGGUUCACCAGCAGGGAGUCCUGCUCCCCAGGCCAGGCGAGGCAGGAGCACAGAGGGGUCUGCCAGUGCGGAUCCUGCCUGGAGCCUGCCAAGGUUUCACUCAGGAAAUCAUGGUUUUGUUUGGCUCUUGAAGAGAAGGAACAGACAGAAAAGGAGGGGGAAGAAAUUCCAUAUAUGGAGCUCAACUUGGGCAGAGCACAAAGGUGUGUGAAGAACAUAGCACGCAGGACUGGGGCUGGAAGGUCCCAUUCGCUACACUGGGACAUCUCACUCUAUCCUUUGCUUCCUGGGAAACCUUUUCUUCUUCCUCAGCCUUACUGAGGUAUAAUCGACGCAUAAAAGGCGUAUAUAUUUAAGGUGUACAACAUGAUGAUUUGAUAUG
Molecule: long non-coding RNA, 1053 nt
Organism: Neofelis nebulosa (Clouded leopard)
Lineage: Eukaryota; Metazoa; Chordata; Mammalia; Carnivora; Felidae
Exons: 2
Source: RefSeq, a predicted model, not a curated record